GAAUUUUGGACAAUGGGGGCAACCCUGAUCCAGCAAUGCCGCGUGUGUGAAGAAGGCCUUCGGGUUGUAAAGCACUUUUGUCCGGAAAGAAAUCCCCUGGGACAAUACCCCGGGGGGAUGACGGUACCGGAAGAAUAAGCACCGGCUAACUACGUGCCAGCCGCCGCGGUAAUACGUAGGGUGCGAGCGUUAAUCGGAAUUACUGGGCGUAAAGCGUGCGCAGGCGGUUGUGCAAGACAGGUGUGAAAUCCCCGGGCUUAACCUGGGAACUGCAUUUGUGACUGCACGGCUAGAGUGUGUCAGAGGGGGGUAGAAUUCCACGUGUAGCAGUGAAAUGCGUAGAUAUGUGGAGGAAUACCGAUGGCGAAGGCAGCCCCCUGGGAUAACACUGACGCUCAUGCACGAAAGCGUGGGGAGCAAACAGG
Molecule: ribosomal RNA, 425 nt
Filed under: uncultured bacterium
Lineage: Bacteria
Description: bacterial SSU rRNA
Rfam family: Bacterial small subunit ribosomal RNA
Source: RNAcentral